GUCGCUUAGGAAAAAAGGACACAAUGGCUGAGAUACACUUGAGAAGAAAUAAGCAGGAAAAACAGAUCUAGGAUUUUGUUACCUUACAGAAAAUAAGGCUGAAGAGUGUGGAGCUAAAGCUGAUGCCUGAAAUCGCAGGAAAAUAAAUCAAUCUUACUGAGUUUAACUUUUCUUCAGCAAGUAUUCCAGGGAUAUUGGACAAACGAGGAAAUCUAUAGAGGAGAAUCAAGGAAAAUAUGACAGGUUUAAAACCAGGAGGCAUGGAACAGAACAACAAGCAACAGGUGAUCACUAAAGUUGAACUGGAGCUCAUUCGCCAGAAGAUGACUCUUCGGUAAUUAGGUGAGAGGGCGGUCCGGCGAUGAAGAACUGACGAGACUAAGCCCGGCCACAUCUCAGGUCAAAUAUAAUCAGAUUAAUGGUCAUAAAAAUUAAGAAGGGAGUCUCAAUUAAAGCUUUCAGAGAAAUGCACGACGUGAAUUUGGAGCCUCUUCGAUUGGGCCGUAAAAGGGUUCGAACGGAAAUGCAAUCUUAAUGUUCUUCAGCCAUGAGACAUCAGCGUGUCGUUGACUGAGCCAUGAACUCCUGAUGAAGAGAAAUACUUUUAUUGAUCCGCUGAUGACGGCAGACAAAAAGCCAUAUCUGGGCUUUAGAGAACGUCUUCAGAAAGUACAUUACAGACAGAAAAACAAGCGCUUUUAUCAUCAGCCUUACUUUCACUUUGAUGUUUUUGGAUUGAAAAUAAUUUAGUAGCUCAUUUACAGUAAAAGUAUUCAUUCAGUGCCUGAUUUUAAAGCUACGUAUUUUAAAGCUUUUAAAUUCGAUAACUAUAUAAUGGAAUAAAACUAAUCAACAAACAUCAGUUACAGUUACAGCAGAAGUUACAUUUCUCAGACACAACUGGAUUUUUUUAUCCAUUCAUAUAGAUUUAAUCACUGGGAACAUCUGACAAAAAUGUAUUAAUUACAUCAUUGUAUCUAUAAAGAGUCGAUCCUCCAUCCCGUCAUUUUAUUUUCCACUACUGAAGAUAUAAGGAUUUAAAGGGUUUUUCAAAGGAUCUUCAUGUGUUCUUCAUGGGUUCCGAGCUCUCCUAUUGAUUGAGGAACUCUUUAUGGUACUGUAGGGUUGAACACAAAAACUUUUUGGGGGUUUAUCCGGACAGGAACUAAUUGAGAAACACUUCAUGUUGCUAGAUAGAACCUUUUUUUUUCUAUAGUCGUGUGUUGCACUCGUCUCUUUUAAAAAAAAAAAGGUGGAAGAAAGAACCAGACAGAACCAAAAUGGAAUUUU
Long non-coding RNA from Tachysurus vachellii, 1290 nucleotides. RefSeq lists it as uncharacterized. Lineage: Eukaryota; Metazoa; Chordata; Actinopteri; Siluriformes; Bagridae. The record is from RefSeq and is a predicted model, not a curated record. The transcript is spliced from 3 exons.